GAUGAAGAACGCAGUGAAAUGCGAUACGUAAUGUGAAUUGCAGAAUUCAGUGAAUCAUCGAGUCUUUGAACGCACAUUGCGCCCCCUGGUAUUCCGGGGGGCAUGCCUGUCCGAGCGUCAUUGCUGCCCUCAAGCACGGCUUGUGUGUUGGGCCUCCGUCCUCCUCCCGGGGGACGGGCCCGAAAGGCAGCGGCGGCACCGCGUCCGGUCCUCGAGCGUAUGGGGCUUCGUCACCCGCUCUUGUAGGCCCGGCCGGCGCUUGCCGACACAUCAAUCUUUUUUCUAGGUUGACCUCGGAUCAGGUAGGGAUACCCGCUGAACUUAAGCAUAUCAAUAAGCGGAGGA
Molecule: unclassified non-coding RNA, 345 nt
Filed under: soil metagenome
Description: partial contains 5.8S ribosomal RNA, internal transcribed spacer 2, and large subunit ribosomal RNA
Rfam family: 5.8S ribosomal RNA (bases 1-120)
Source: RNAcentral